Molecule: ribosomal RNA, 492 nt
Filed under: uncultured bacterium
Lineage: Bacteria
Description: partial 16S ribosomal RNA
Rfam family: Bacterial small subunit ribosomal RNA
Source: RNAcentral
AGUGAACGCUGGCGGUAGGCCUAACACAUGCAAGUCGAACGGCAGCACAUUAAGAGCUUGCUCUUACGGGUUGCGAGUGGCGGACGGGUGUGGACUACGUCGGAAUCUACUUUUUCGUGGCUUAUAAUGAAGGGAAACUUACGCUAAUACGGCAUGCUACCUACGGGUGAAAUCAGCGGAUCUUCGGACCGUGCGCUAUUGAGUGUGCCGAUGUCGGAUUAGCUAGUUGGCGGGGUAAAGGCACACCAAGGCGACGAUCCGUAGGUGGCAUGAGAGGAAGAACAGGCACACUGGCACUGAGACAGGUUACAGACUCCUAGGGGAGGACGCAGUGGGGACUAUUAGACAAAGGACGAAAGCCUGAUACAGCCCUACCGCGUGGGUGAAGAAGCACUUAGGGUUGUAAAGCCAUUUUGUUGGGAAAGAAAAGCAGCAGGUUACUACGCGACUGUUAUGACGGUACCGAAAGAAUAAGCCCCGGCCAACUUCGUG